UCCGGGCCGGCGGUCUACACAUGCAAGUCGAACGGUAACAGGAUGUGCUUGCACAUCGCUGACGAGUGGCGGACGGGUGAGUAAUGCUUGGGAACUUGCCUUUGCGAGGGGGAUAACAGUUGGAAACGACUGCUAAUACCGCAUAAUGUCUACGGACCAAACGGGGCUUAGGCUCCGGCGCAAAGAGAGGCCCAAGUGAGAUUAGCUAGUUGGUAAGGUAACGGCUUACCAAGGCGACGAUCUCUAGCUGUUCUGAGAGGAAGAUCAGCCACACUGGGACUGAGACACGGCCCAGACUCCUACGGGAGGCAGCAGUGGGGAAUAUUGCACAAUGGGGGAAACCCUGAUGCAGCCAUGCCGCGUGUGUGAAGAAGGCCUUCGGGUUGUAAAGCACUUUCAGUUGUGAGGAAAAGUUAGUAGUUAAUACCUGCUAGCCGUGACGUUAACAACAGAAGAAGCACCGGCUAACUCCGUGCCAGCAGCCGCGGUAAUACGGAGGGUGCGAGCGUUAAUCGGAAUUACUGGGCGUAAAGCGCACGCAGGCGGUUUGUUAAGCUAGAUGUGAAAGCCCCGGGCUCAACCUGGGAUGGUCAUUUAGAACUGGCAGACUAGAGUCUUGGAGAGGGGAGUGGAAUUCCAGGUGUAGCGGUGAAAUGCGUAGAUAUCUGGAGGAACAUCAGUGGCGAAGGCGACUCUCUGGCCAAAGACUGACGCUCAUGUGCGAAAGUGUGGGUAGCGAACAGGAUUAGAUACUCUGGUAGUCCACACCGUAAACGCUGUCUACUAGCUGUGUGUGUCUUUAAGACGUGCGUAGCGAAGCUAACGCGCUAAUUAGACCGCCUGGGGAGUACGGCCGCAAGGUUAAAACUCAAAUGAAUUGACGGGGGCCCGCACAGCGGUGGAGCAUGUGUUUAAUUCGAUGCAACGCGAAGAACCUUACCUACACUUGACAUGCUGAGAGUUACUAGAGAUAGUUUCGUGCCUUCGGAACUCAGACACAGGUGCUGCAUGCUGUCGUCAGCUCGUGUCGGGAGAUGUUGGGUUAAGUCCGCAACGAGCGCAACCUUGUCUUAGUGCCAGCUUUAAUUGGGCACUCUAAGGAACUUGCGGUGACAACCGGAGGAAGGGGGGACAACGCCCAGCACACUGGGCUUACCGGUGGGGCUACCCCGCGCUCAAGGGCUUUUUCAAAGGAAACGUGACUAUGUAUGUAGGCAGCACCCUCCACGAAAGAUGCCGAACCCGUGUAGCUGCGACCCACCCUCCUCUGUC
This 1272-nucleotide ribosomal RNA is filed under the name uncultured Gammaproteobacteria bacterium. Its description in RNAcentral is "partial 16S ribosomal RNA". It matches the Rfam family "Bacterial small subunit ribosomal RNA", at positions 37 to 1327 of the family's 1533-position model. The record is from RNAcentral. Lineage: Bacteria; Pseudomonadati; Pseudomonadota; Gammaproteobacteria.